UGGGGAAUUUUCCGCAAUGGGCGCAAGCCUGACGGAGCAAUACCGCGUGAGGGAGGAAGGCUUUUGGGUUGUAAACCUCUUUUCUCAAGGAAGAACACAAUGACGGUACUUGAGGAAUCAGCAUCGGCUAACUCCGUGCCAGCAGCCGCGGUAAUACGGAGGAUGCAAGCGUUGUCCGGAUUUAUUGGGUUUAAAGGGUGCGUAGGUGGUUUAUUAAGUCAGUGGUGAAAGGCUACAGCUCAACUGUAGGAGUGCCAUUGAUACUGGUAGACUUGAGUUUGGUCGAGGUAGGCGGAAUUUAUGGUGUAGCGGUGAAAUGCAUAGAUACCAUAAAGAACGCCGAUAGUGAAGACAGCUUACUAGGCCUGGACUGACACUGAGGCACGAAAGCGUGGGGAGCGAACAGGAUUAGAUACCCCCGUAGUCC
This 427-nucleotide ribosomal RNA is filed under the name uncultured prokaryote. RNAcentral describes it as "bacterial SSU rRNA". It matches the Rfam family "Bacterial small subunit ribosomal RNA", at positions 355 to 796 of the family's 1533-position model. The record is from RNAcentral.